GAUGAACGCUGGCGGCGUGCCUAAUACAUGCAAGUCGAGCGAACAGACGAGGAGCUUGCUCCUCUGACGUUAGCGGCGGACGGGUGAGUAACACGUGGAUAACCUACCUAUAAGACUGGGAUAACUUCGGGAAACCGGAGCUAAUACCGGAUAAUAUAUUGAACCGCAUGGUUCAAUAGUGAAAGACGGUUUUGCUGUCACUUAUAGAUGGAUCCGCGCCGCAUUAGCUAGUUGGUAAGGUAACGGCUUACCAAGGCAACGAUGCGUAGCCGACCUGAGAGGGUGAUCGGCAACACUGGACCUGAGACACGGUCCAGACUCCUACGGGAGGCAGCAGUAGGGAAUCUUCCGCAAUGGGCGAAAGCCUGACGGAGCAACGCCGCGUGAGUGAUGAAGGUCUUCGGAUCGUAAAACUCUGUUAUUAGGGAAGAACAAAUGUGUAAGUAACUAUGCACGUCUUGACGGUACCUAAUCAGAAAGCCACGGCUAACUACGUG
RNAcentral lists this ribosomal RNA (497 nucleotides) under uncultured bacterium. Its description in RNAcentral is "partial 16S ribosomal RNA". It matches the Rfam family "Bacterial small subunit ribosomal RNA", at positions 28 to 507 of the family's 1533-position model. The record is from RNAcentral.